CAGGUUUUGCAUUAGCAUGAAUUUCCUGAAGGGUAUUAAGUUUGAAACUCAAAUGUCUGUCAUUAUUUUCUAAGUCGACCCUCAACAGUUUGACAGUGAUUUGACAGAAAACCACAAUUUUAUUAAAAACAAACCAAAAACUUGAGACAAAAAUCUGGACAUUCCGCGAAAAUAUGUACAGUUGCACAUGCCGUGGGAAAACGAAAGAAAAAACCCUCACUCGAUUACACUGUAGUGAAUGAAACUUGUCUGAUUCUGAGCAGCACAAAAUAAUCGAGUGCAGCUUUCUGCGAUUUCAACAUCUUAAUCAAGAGGAGGCCAUUUAAAAUAACACUGCAGAAAAUGCCAGCGAAACGAAUUUUCUUACAGUCUCUGAAUAUUAGUAAAACUACUGAAGCAACAUAGUGAAGAUGUGCAUGAGUACAAAAGAAGAAAUGGAUUACUAUGAUCUCCAAAGAUUCUUCUACUCUCUUCAUGCUUGAUUCUGAUUGGCCUACCACGAUUAAAGGAAAACUACCAUUGAACUCUG
Long non-coding RNA from Protopterus annectens (West African lungfish), 529 nucleotides. RefSeq lists it as uncharacterized. Lineage: Eukaryota; Metazoa; Chordata; Ceratodontiformes; Protopteridae. The transcript is spliced from 2 exons. The record is from RefSeq and is a predicted model, not a curated record.